Molecule: ribosomal RNA, 465 nt
Filed under: uncultured Streptococcus sp.
Lineage: Bacteria; Bacillati; Bacillota; Bacilli; Lactobacillales; Streptococcaceae
Description: bacterial SSU rRNA
Rfam family: Bacterial small subunit ribosomal RNA
Source: RNAcentral
CCUACGGGGGGCAGCAGUAGGGAAUCUUCGGCAAUGGACGGAAGUCUGACCGAGCAACGCCGCGUGAGUGAAGAAGGUUUUCGGAUCGUAAAGCUCUGUUGUAAGAGAAGAACGAGUGUGAGAGUGGAAAGUUCACACUGUGACGGUAUCUUACCAGAAAGGGACGGCUAACUACGUGCCAGCAGCCGCGGUAAUACGUAGGUCCCGAGCGUUGUCCGGAUUUAUUGGGCGUAAAGCGAGCGCAGGCGGUUAGAUAAGUCUGAAGUUAAAGGCUGUGGCUUAACCAUAGUACGCUUUGGAAACUGUUUAACUUGAGUGCAAGAGGGGAGAGUGGAAUUCCAUGUGUAGCGGUGAAAUGCGUAGAUAUAUGGAGGAACACCGGUGGCGAAAGCGGCUCUCUGGCUUGUAACUGACGCUGAGGCUCGAAAGCGUGGGGAGCAAACAGGAUUAGAUACCCUUGUAGUC